GACGAACGCUGGCGGCGUGCUUAACACAUGCAAGUCGAACGGAAAGGCCCUGCUUUUGUGGGGUGCUCGAGUGGCGAACGGGUGAGUAACACGUGAGUAACCUGCCCUUGACUUUGGGAUAACUUCAUGAAACUGGGGCUAAUACCGGAUAGGAGCUCCUGCUGCAUGGUGGGGGUUGGAUAGUUUCGGCGGUUGGGGAUGGACUCGCGUCUUAUCAGCUUGUUGGUGGGGUAGUGGCUUACCAAGGCUUUGACGGGUAGCCGGCCUGAGAGGGUGACCGGCCACAUUGGGACUGAGAUACGGCCCAGCCUCCUCCGGGAGGCAGCAGUGGGGAAUAUUGCACAAUGGGCGGAAGCCUGAUGCAGCACAGCCGCGUGCGGGAUGACGGCAUUCGGGUUGUAAACCGCUUUCGCCUGUGACGAAGCGUGAGUGACGGUAAUGGGUAAAGAAGCACCGGCUAACUACGUG
RNAcentral lists this ribosomal RNA (468 nucleotides) under uncultured bacterium. RNAcentral's name for it is "partial 16S ribosomal RNA". It matches the Rfam family "Bacterial small subunit ribosomal RNA", at positions 28 to 507 of the family's 1533-position model. The record is from RNAcentral.